CGGGACUAGAGGACAGCUGUGGGAGUCAGGCUGCCUGGGUUUCAAUCUUGGUUCCCUCGUUUUCCACCUGUUUGAUUUCAUGCAGGAAGAGACAGAAAAAAAGGCCAUGUGAGGACAUAGCAAGAAGGCAGCUGUCUGCAAGACAAGGAGAGAGGCCUCAGGAGAAACAACCCUGCUGACACUAUGGCCUUGAACUUCCAGCCUCCAGAACUGGAAAACCACAUAAACUUUAAAAGAACUACAUAGAAUUGCCUGAACAUCAUACGGAUCACCAGAGGGCAAGUGGAGCUAUAAAAAAAGAUUGGAGACAACUUCAAAGGCCUGGAGUAGCCAGCAUGUGAAGCAGCAGAAUCACAUCUAGCAAUUCGAAUCAUCACAUAGCACCUUUAUCAAGACUUUGAACUAUCUUCAAAGAAAGAGAAGCUUUACUUCUUGGAGGCAGAAAUACAGAAGCAUGGAUAAGGAUGAUACUUAACUACACAGACGGACCUGGAGAACAUUAUGCUCCGUGAAGUGCACAUCUGUUUAUUUGUGGACUCCCAGUGGAAGAAUAACCAAGAGUUUAACAUCAACUAUGCUUUUAGUAAUCCAGGAAAUUACAACCUACCAAGAAGCAAACUUCUUCCUCUACACAACAAACAUUUAGGAGAGAAAAAUCUAGGGCUGGGAAGGGCGAUGAGUCAAAGGAGAUAUUCUGGGAUACUUUGACACAACAGAAGAUCUUAAUUUAGAAAAGGAGGGAGGCUAAGAGUUACUCAAUGUUUCCAGUAUCGAGAAAGCAAGAACCAAGUGUUCCCAGAGAAUUUGUCAAAGCUCCCUUCAGGUAAAAUGCAUUCAUACUGAUAGAUGGUUUCAAACAUGCCUCUCUAACAGUCAUUUCUAAGCUGUUUCAUAUUCAUGUGGCGUGCAGUGAGAUGUCUGCCACAGACCAUGCGCCUUUACUGUAUGGUGCUUUAGCACUCAGAACAUUGCUAACAAACUUGACAUUUUUAUUUGUACUGUUGAUGCGGGGUCAGUGAG
RNAcentral lists this long non-coding RNA (1020 nucleotides) under Equus caballus (horse). RNAcentral's name for it is "lncRNA (ENSECAG00000059400.1)". Lineage: Eukaryota; Metazoa; Chordata; Mammalia; Perissodactyla; Equidae. The record is from RNAcentral.